Molecule: ribosomal RNA, 253 nt
Filed under: uncultured bacterium
Lineage: Bacteria
Description: partial 16S ribosomal RNA
Rfam family: Bacterial small subunit ribosomal RNA
Source: RNAcentral
UACAGAGUGUGCGAGCGUUAAUCGGAAUUACUGGGCGUAAAGCGCGCGUAGGCGGCUUGUCAAGUCGGAUGUGAAAUCCCUGGGCUCAACCUAGGCAUUGCAUUCGAUACUGGCAAGCUAGAGUAUGGGAGAGGAAGGUAGAAUUCCAGGUGUAGCGGUGAAAUGCGUAGAGAUCUGGAGGAAUACCGAUGGCGAAGGCAGCCUUCUGGCCUAAUACUGACGCUGAGGUGCGAAAGCAUGGGGAGCAAACAGG